CAAGGCUGAAACUUGAUAGGGAGCGAAAAUAAGUAGCGAAGCAUGCGAAUCCCCGCUGGCGAGAAAAGAUGCUGGCAAUGAUAUGGGCGCCCGUACCGCAAACCGACGCAGGUGGGCGAGGAGAGAAUCCUAAGACGAACGAGAGAACUCUUGUUAAGGAACUCGGCAAAAUGACCACGUAACUUCGGGAGAAGUGGUGCCUCGAAAGAGGCCGCAGAGAAUAGGCCCAAGCGACUGUUUAGCAAAAACACAGGUGUUUGCGAAAGCGAGAGCUGAAGUAUAAGCGCUGACGCCUGCCCGGUGCUGGAAGGUUAAGAGGAGUUGUCAGGCAACGAAGCAGCGAAUCGAAGCCCCAGUAAACGGCGGCCGUAACGAUAACGGUCCUAAGGUAGCGAAAUUCCUUGUCGGGUAAGUUCCGACCCGCACGAAUGGCGUAACGACUUGGGUACUGUCUCAACAAGAGACUCGGUGAAAUUGAAGUAUGUGUGAAGAUGCACAUUACCCGCGACUGGACGGAAAGACCCCGUAGAGCUUUACUGUAGCUUAGCAUUGGAUUUCGAUAAUGGAUGUACAGGAUAGGUGGGAGACUGGGAGACUGUGGCGUCAGCUGCAGAGGAGUCGGUGUUGGGAUACCACUCUUCUGUUAUUGAAAUUCUAACAAGCAGCCGUGAACCGGCGCUUGGACCGUGCUAGGUAGGCAGUUUGACUGGGGCGGUCGCCUCCCAAAGAGUAACGGAGGCGCCCAAAGGUUCCCUCAGAAUGGAUGGAAACCAUUCGAAGAGUGCAAAGGCAGAAGGGAGCCUGACUGCGAGACGGACAGGUCGAGCAGAGAGGAAACUCGGGCUUAGUGAUCCGGCGGUAUUGAGUGGAAAAGCCGUCGCUCAACGGAUAAAAGCUACCUCGGGGAUAACAGGCUGAUCUCCCCCAAGAGUCCACAUCGACGGGGAGGUUUGGCACCUCGAUGUCGGCUCGUCGCAUCCUGGGGCUGAAGCAGGUCCCAAGGGUUUGGCUGUUCGCCAAUUAAAGCGGCACGCGAGCUGGGUUCAGAACGUCGUGAGACAGUUCGGUCCCUAUCCAUCGUGGGCGAAGGAAUCAUGAAAGGAGCUGUCCCUAGUACGAGAGGACCGGGAUGGACGCAUCACUGGUGAAACUGUUGUCGUGCCAACGGCAUAGCAGGGAAGCGAAAUGCGGACGGGAUAAACGCUGAAGGCAUCUAAGCGUGAAGCCCACCUUAAGAUAAAGAUUCCCACAGCGUAAGCUGGUAAGACCCCUUGAAGACGACAAGGUUGAUAGGUCAGCGCUGGAAGCGCGGUAACGCGUGGAGGUUGCUGAUACUAAUAGGUCGAGGGCUUG
RNAcentral lists this ribosomal RNA (1353 nucleotides) under metagenome. Its description in RNAcentral is "bacterial LSU rRNA". It matches the Rfam family "Bacterial large subunit ribosomal RNA", at positions 1551 to 2925 of the family's 2925-position model. The record is from RNAcentral.